This 951-nucleotide long non-coding RNA is filed under the name Vulpes vulpes (red fox). RNAcentral's name for it is "lncRNA (ENSVVUG00000005530.1)". The record is from RNAcentral. Lineage: Eukaryota; Metazoa; Chordata; Mammalia; Carnivora; Canidae.
GGGAUGGGGUGGGGGGUGCAGAGAAGAGAGCGUUGGACUCCACUAUACUUCCCCUAACUGCCUCUUCACCAGCUUGCUGCCCAUCUCCCUUCCUCGGCUUCCUGUUCACAAAGCUGAAUUACAAGAACUAGGAUGAGGUUCAGUUCUUUUUCUAGGCUUCAAGAAACUCCCUUUUAAAACUUCAUGAUUAUGAUCAGAAAAGGGAAAGUUAUAGUACCUACUUUAGGAGAAUGCAGCCACAUUGCUCUUCAUUUUUUUGGUUGCACGAGGCAGGAGAAGGAAACUUUUUUGUCCUACGUCAUUGUUCUUAGGAGCAUCUCACAGAAGCAGACCUACCCUUGAACUGAUCCCUCAUCUCAAAACGUGGGUGUAAUAUAAACGCACCCCUGACAAAGCAAGACGUUAGGGGGAAAAAGCAACAGCUUACGCAAUACCACAGUGCAAGGGAAGGCGGAGCUUCUCAGUAUUUGCAGACAUGUUAUUAAAUUCUAAUUCUGGCAAACAAUAAAGAGGAAAACAGAAAGAGGCUUUCAACUGGAUGGUAAAAUGCAGUUUGCGUGACACCGUUGACCGUCAACGACAGGAUGCCUUCUUUCACUCACCUCCCAAACAAGUACUACGGAUCCGAUACUCAGGAAGCAUAACAUUCAAACUUUGCUUUCAAGCUAGUAUAAGGAAACGUGCAGCCAGCCCAGACCCUCAGGCCUGCGCAUCAAGAUGGCAGGCUGGCCAAGGGUCCUCUGGGGACAGCAGUGCCAGAAGGAGGAUUGGACACGGUGACCCGUCUGCAUGAGAUGAGGAAAAAAACAACAACAACCAACAACCAGGAGAAUAUAAUGCAUAUGCCUUGGACUUUUGGUGACAGCAUUGAUUUUUGGAAACACUGUUCCUAAAUGAGAAAGAACACUUGUAGGCCAUAAAACAACAUAAAAAGGAUGGGUGGUCAUCUUG